AUCCCGUUGUGUCGGUGUUGUAUCCGACGUCGCCGUCGUCGGUGAACAGGACGGUGUUCACCGCGCCGAGCGUGGCCGCGACGGGAUC
RNAcentral lists this transfer RNA (88 nucleotides) under Mycobacteroides abscessus subsp. abscessus. RNAcentral describes it as "tRNA-Gly(gcc)". Lineage: Bacteria; Bacillati; Actinomycetota; Actinomycetes; Mycobacteriales; Mycobacteriaceae. The record is from RNAcentral.